Molecule: ribosomal RNA, 498 nt
Filed under: uncultured bacterium
Lineage: Bacteria
Description: bacterial SSU rRNA
Rfam family: Bacterial small subunit ribosomal RNA
Source: RNAcentral
CGACGAUUCGUACUGGUCUGAGAGAUGAUCAGUCACACUGGAACUGAGACACGGUCCAGACUCUUACGGAAGGCAGCAGUGGGAAUAUGGACAAUGGCGAAAGCCUGAUCCAGCCAUGCCGCGUGUGUGAAGAAGGUCUUCGGAUGUAAAGCACUUUAGUUGGGAGGAAGGGCAGUUACCUAAUACGUGAUGUUUGACGUUACCGACAGAAUAAGCACCGGCUAACUCUGUGCCAGCAGCCGCGGUAAUACAGAGGGUGCAAGCGUUAAUCGGAAUUACUGGGCGUAAAGCGCGCGUAGGUGGUUUGUUAAGUUGGAUGUGAAAUCCCCGGGCUCAACCUGGGAACUGCAUUCAAAACUGACUGACUAGAGUAUGGUAGAGGGUGGUGGAAUUUCCUGUGUAGCGGUGAAAUGCGUAGAUAUAGGAAGGAACACCAGUGGCGAAGGCGACCACCUGGACUGAUACUGACACUGAGGUGCGAAAGCGUGGGGAGCAAAC